Molecule: ribosomal RNA, 497 nt
Filed under: uncultured bacterium
Lineage: Bacteria
Description: bacterial SSU rRNA
Rfam family: Bacterial small subunit ribosomal RNA
Source: RNAcentral
GACGAACGCUGGCGGCGUGGAUUAGGCAUGCAAGUCGAACGGUAGGAUACCUUCGGGUAUCUGAGAGUGGCGAACGGGUGAGUAACACGUAGGUGAUCUACCCUCAAGAUUGGGACAACCCAGGGAAACUUGGGCUAAUACCGGAUGAAAGCAGCAGUGAUGUUGUUUGAAAGGUGGCGUAAGCUGCCGUUUGGGGAUGAGCCUGCGCUCUAUUAGUUAGUUGGCGGGGUAAAGGCCCACCAAGGCGAUGAUAGAUAGGCGGCCUUAACGGGUGGUCGCCCACACUGGGAUUGAGAUACGGCCCAGACUCCUACGGGAGGCAGCAGUCGAGAAUAGUCUACAAUGGCCGAAAGGCUGAUAGUGCGACGCCGCGUGAACGAAGAAGCCCUUCGGGUGUAAGUUCUUUUAUAUGUGAGCAGUGCUUCUUAUAUUAACAGUAUGGGAGAGAGAUAUUAGCAUAUGAAUAAGCAACGGCUAACUCCGUGCCAGCAGCCGAC